This 537-nucleotide unclassified non-coding RNA is filed under the name Hevea brasiliensis (rubber tree). The record is from RNAcentral. Lineage: Eukaryota; Viridiplantae; Streptophyta; Magnoliopsida; Malpighiales; Euphorbiaceae.
UUUCAUUCACUGGACAGCAAAACCGUGUUAUAUUCAAUCUCAUUUAACAUCCACACGAUACAAGUGAAGCACAAGAAACAAAGGUCAAAAAUCUUCACACAGAAGUAUAUUAUAGUUCAGCAUCAAAUUAAUGGAAGAUGAGAGAAAACAUAGGCUGUAGAACAGAAGCACAUUAAUGGACACUGCUGAAGACCUCAGCGAAAUAACGCUAGCACAUACAGAUUCUUGAACAUAGGAGACAGGUAGACAUGAUAGCGGAAAGCUAAGGAAUGAUCAACUCUUUCAGUUGUUUAUGAUUCUGCAGUAACUUCUGUUGUUAUCGCAGGGAUAGUCUCAUGGUCACCCUCAAGCUUGCUUAAGUUGCCUUUCUCCUUGAUAAGUUGAAUAUGGUGAUGCUUACAGUAGAGGCGCCCUUCAUGUGCGAUAUAGUUGGAAAGGCUAAUUACACACCCUCCAUGGCUACAUUUGAAGCAGUUUUUGUGGUAUGGUGUACCAUUAACUGAUACCUUCUCUGUUGGAUAGACAGUGUUCUUGCAG